This 439-nucleotide ribosomal RNA is filed under the name uncultured bacterium. RNAcentral describes it as "partial 16S ribosomal RNA". It matches the Rfam family "Bacterial small subunit ribosomal RNA", at positions 339 to 795 of the family's 1533-position model. The record is from RNAcentral.
CUACGGGCUGCAGCAGUGGGGAAUAUUGCACAAUGGAGGAAACUCUGAUGCAGCAACGCCGCGUGGAGGAUGACACUUUUCGGAGCGUAAACUCCUUUUAUAUAGGAAGAAGAUGACGGUACUAUAUGAAUAAGCGCCGGCUAACUCCGUGCCAGCAGCCGCGGUAAUACGGAGGGCGCAAGCGUUACUCGGAAUCACUGGGCGUAAAGAGCGUGUAGGCGGAUUAAAAAGUCAGAAGUGAAAUCCUAUAGCUUAACUAUAGAACUGCUUCUGAAACUCUUAAUCUAGAAUAUGGGAGAGGUAGAUGGAAUUUCUAGUGUAGGGGUAAAAUCCGUAGAGAUCAGAAGGAAUACUGAUUGCGAAGGCGAUCUACUAGAACAUUAUUGACGCUGAGACGCGAAAGCGUGGGGAGCAAACAGGAUUAGAUACCCCCGUAGUC